UACGGCGGGCGCAAGCGUUGUUCGGAAUUACUGGGCGUAAAGCGCGUGUAGGCGGUCUGGUAAGUCGGUUGUGAAAUCCCCGGGCUCAACCCGGGAACUGCAUCCGAAACUGCUGGGCUAGAGUUCCGGAGAGGAAGGCAGAAUUCCAAAUGUAGGGGUGAAAUCCGUAGAUAUUGGGAGGAAUACCAGUGGCGAAGGCGGCCUUCUGGACGGUGACUGACGAUGAGACGCGAAAGCGUGGGGAGCAAACAGG
Molecule: ribosomal RNA, 253 nt
Filed under: uncultured bacterium
Lineage: Bacteria
Description: partial 16S ribosomal RNA
Rfam family: Bacterial small subunit ribosomal RNA
Source: RNAcentral